This 207-nucleotide ribosomal RNA is filed under the name uncultured bacterium. Its description in RNAcentral is "partial 16S ribosomal RNA". It matches the Rfam family "Bacterial small subunit ribosomal RNA", at positions 524 to 727 of the family's 1533-position model. The record is from RNAcentral.
UACAGAGGGGGCAAGCGUUGUUCGGAAUUACUGGGCGUAAAGGGCGCGUAGGCGGCCUGUUUAAGUCGAACGUGAAAUCCCCCGGGCUCAACCCGGGAACUGCGUCCGAUACUGGCAGGCUUGAAUCCGGGAGAGGGAUGCGGAAUUCCAGGUGUAGCGGUGAAAUGGCGUAGAUAUCUGGAGGAACACCGGUGGCGAAGGCGGCAU